Molecule: ribosomal RNA, 739 nt
Filed under: Trichomonas vaginalis
Lineage: Eukaryota; Parabasalia; Trichomonadida; Trichomonadidae
Description: SSU rRNA
Rfam family: Eukaryotic small subunit ribosomal RNA
Source: RNAcentral
CAACUCUGGUGCUAAUACAUGCGAAUUGUUUCUCCAGAUGUGAAUUAUGGAGGAAAAGUUGACCUCAUCAGAGGCACGCCAUUCGACUGAGUGACCUAUCAGCUUGUACUUAGGGUCUUUACCUAGGUAGGCUAUCACGGGUAACGGGCGGUUACCGUCGGACUGCCGGAGAAGGCGCCUGAGAGAUAGCGACUAUAUCCACGGGUAGCAGCAGGCGCGAAACUUUCCCACUCGAGACUUUCGGAGGAGGUAAUGACCAGUUCCAUUGGUGCCUUUUGGUACUGUGGAUAGGGGUACGGUUUUCCACCGUACCGAAACCUAGCAGAGGGCCAGUCUGGUGCCAGCAGCUGCGGUAAUUCCAGCUCUGCGAGUUUGCUCCCAUAUUGUUGCAGUUAAAACGCCCGUAGUCUGAAUUGGCCAGCAAUGGUCGUACGUAUUUUUACGUUCACUGUGAACAAAUCAGGACGCUUAGAGUAUGGCCACAUGAAUGACUCAGCGCAGUAUGAAGUCUUUGUUUUCUUCCGAAAACAAGCUCAAUGAGAGCCAUCGGGGGUAGAUCUAUCUCAUGACGAGUGGUGGAAUACUUUGACUCAUGAGAGAGAAGCUGAGGCGAAGGCGUCUACCUAGAGGGUUUCUGUCGAUCAAGGGCGAGAGUAGGAGUAUCCAACAGGAUUAGAGACCCUGAGUAGUUCCUACCUUAAACGAUGCCGACGGGAGUUUUGUAAAAAAAGGGGUGUUU